UGUUAGCAGCAAUUACCUUUUCAGCUGCCUUAAACUUUAAGCAGAUGGAGUUGUAUCAUGCAAUACUUCUAUUUGCUGGCUUCUAUUUGCUGGCUUCCUGUCAACCUAAAGGUUCCUCACUUCCCUCCCAACUAAAGAAUUUGGUCCAGAUUGGCGCUGCCACAGUGGCGACCUUUGCAAUCAUUUGGUAUCCAUUUCUUCAAAUUCAUGAUUGGCUUUUACAGCAAGUCAUCGUCAGACUCUUUAUUCCUUUUCAGCGUGGAAUCUUUGAAGACUAUGUCGCCAAUUUUUGGUGCACGCUAAAUGUUGUGAUCAAAAUCAAACGACUAUUAAACCCAACCUCAAUCGCCUCGGGAACUAUCACCUAGGCCAUGCCCGUGCCUGAAAGAAAAAGUCAGGACGUUGAUUCGAACGGAUUCGAAUGCAACGAGCACUAAGUACGGUCACAUUAUUGGAGGAAUGACCGUGUGCUUGGUUCGUGAUUUGGAGUCACAAGUGAUAGCUGCAAGCUGAUAUCACUCGAACCACUGCACCAACCCGACUAAGCAUGAUCGAAAAAAGCUACAGCUCAUUAUGGCGUCAGUUUAGCUUUAAUGCUAAAUUUCGCAAACACGGUGAACUAGAUUGACAAUAAUAAAAAAUGAACUUUAUUCGUCACUUGCUGUGUUACUUAUUAUUAAGAAUCUCAAUUAUGCUAAACAAAUUUUGACACGCAAAAAAUGCUACAAUAGAAACGGAAACGGUUGCACUCACGGAUCGUGACUGGAACAUGUAUACCAAUCCCGCCAUAAGACCUAGAAGUUACUCUUCGGUUGCCACCAGGUGGCAUAUGAGUAGCAUAUUUCUAUGAAAUCUUUUGAUGGCUGUCUGCUGUCUGCUUAACUGGGCAUUGAUGGCAGGUUAAUUUUUAAAAAGUUUGUACUUCAAAUAUAGGAACUAUCUUGCUUUCGGCGGAUUAUUCUCAGUUGGAACUUCGAAUAUUGGCGCAUUUGAGUGAAGACGCAGGUCUUUGUUCUGUUCUUAGCCAACCCGAUGGCGAUGUUUUCCGCGGCAUUGUAUCAGUUUGGAAAAAGAAAAAGCAAGAAGAAGUCAGAGACGAUGAAAGGCAAAAAGCGAAACAAAUCUGCUACGGGAUUGUUUACGGCAUGGGAUGUAAAAGUUUAGCCGAACAGUUGGAAGUCGGGGAAGAAGAGGCUCAACUCUUUGUUAACACUUUCCACGCAACGUAUCCUAGUAUACAAAGCUUUAUAACAAACACAGUUAACCAGUGCCGCACGAAUGGAUUUGAUGAUGUUGAUGCCUAAUUUUCUUGACAGGUCAACCGAUGUGGAAAAAAAUUCAGGAGGAAAAUGAAUUGAGCUGCUGACAUUGGCCUAUUCUGGAAUACAUUAGUUUGCAUCAUAAUCAGAAAGGACAAGAGAAGGAAAACGCUGGAACUGUGUGCUACAAUCAUGAUUCUUCUUAUAUUCUCCUCCGCUGGAAAACGAUACUUUAUUGUGUCAUGACCAAGAUGCUUAACAGGCGUCGGAAAAAAAAAAAGAGGUUUGUCUUCCAACAAAUGAAUACAGACUUACUUGACUCCCAAUUACAACUCGAAAGGUCAAGCGUUGGAAUGGGAUUGGCCCCCCAUUGCAAUGCAAGACUGAAUAGAGAGGUAAGAGCCCUCAGCUGAUGUCACGAUGUGGAUCAUAUAGUACAGCAAUAUGAUCUCCGUCCGGGCAGGUCUGGAGGUUACUCGAUAGCAAGUCAAUCAAGUGCUUAGCGCAACCCUUUUUUUUUUCUUUUUUUUUUCUUUUUUCAAGAACUAAAAUCCAAACUGGCUAACCAAAACUUCUAACAUCUAGUCCGAAUAUUUGAGCAUUUCCUUUUAAGGGAAUUUCAGAUUGAAAUUAGGAAAUUAACAUUAGUGAUGGAAAUGCAAACUAAAAAAUUUUACGCUACAUCCUGCUACGCAAUUAAAAACGGUAAAGAUAAGUGGAUUUCAACCUUGCCCAAUUCAAUGUUAAUUGGCAAAUGCAAUCAAUUGAAGCAAUGUUCUAUGCUACGAAACUAAAUAGCUAUAUAAAUUAUACCAGACUGAUGAAUACCAAUGAUGUAAAUCUCACUAAUGUUCUAGUGUAUAAAUGCGUUCAGCAAUUACAAUGUUGUAGGGAAACAAAUCGCUUUCAUUAGCUUUAUUUGAUACAAAAUAAAAAGAACGAGGGGAUUUGUUAACGGCA
This is a long non-coding RNA of Daphnia magna, 2219 nucleotides long. RefSeq lists it as uncharacterized. Lineage: Eukaryota; Metazoa; Arthropoda; Branchiopoda; Diplostraca; Daphniidae. The record is from RefSeq and is a predicted model, not a curated record. The transcript is spliced from 4 exons.